RNAcentral lists this ribosomal RNA (406 nucleotides) under uncultured bacterium. RNAcentral describes it as "partial 16S ribosomal RNA". It matches the Rfam family "Bacterial small subunit ribosomal RNA", at positions 30 to 526 of the family's 1533-position model. The record is from RNAcentral.
AUUGAACGCUGGCGGCAGGCCUAACACAUGCAAGUCGAACGAGUGGCGGACGGGUGAGUAAUGUCUGGGAAACUGCCUGAUGGAGGGGGAUAACUACUGGAAACGGUAGCUAAUUCCGCAUACCAUCAGAUGUGCCCAGAUGGGAUUCGCUUGUUGGGGGGGUAACGGCUCACCAAGGCGAAGAUCCCUAGCUGGUCUGAGAGGAUGACCAGCCACCCUGGAACGGAGACACGGUCCAGACUCCUACGGGAGGCAGAAGUGGGGAAUAUUGCACAAUGGGCGAAAGCCUGAUGCAGCCAUGCCGCGUGUGUGAAGAAGGCCUUCGGAUUGUAAAGUACUUUCAGCGGGGAGGCGUUACCCACAGAAGAAGCACCGGCUAACUCCGUGCCAGCAGCCGCGGUAAUUC